This 492-nucleotide ribosomal RNA is filed under the name uncultured bacterium. RNAcentral describes it as "partial 16S ribosomal RNA". It matches the Rfam family "Bacterial small subunit ribosomal RNA", at positions 29 to 507 of the family's 1533-position model. The record is from RNAcentral.
AGUGAACGCUGGCGGCAUGCCUAACACAUGCAAGUCGAACGGCAACACAGUAAGAGCUUGCUCUUACCGGUGGCGAGUGGCGGACGGGUGACGAAUACAUCGGAAUCUACUUUUUCGUGGGGGAUAACGUAAGGAAACUUACGCUAAUACCGCAUACGACCUACGGGUGAAAGCAGUGGAUCUUCGGACCUUGCGCGAUUGAAUGAGCCGAUGUCGGAUUAGCUAGUUGGCGGGGUAAAGGCCCACCAAGGCGACGAUACGUAGCUGGUCUGAGAGGAUGGUCCGCCACACUGGAACUGAGACACGGUCCAGACUCCUACGGGAGGCCGCAGUGGGGAAUAUUGGACAAUGGGCGCAAGCCUGAUCCAGCCAUACCGCGUGGGUGAAGAAGGCCUUCGGGUUGUAAAGCCCUUUUGUUGGGAAAGAAAAGCAGCAGGUUAAUACCCCGCUGUUCUGACGGUACCCAAAGAAUAAGCCCCGGCUAACUUCGUG